This 34056-nucleotide long non-coding RNA is filed under the name Musa acuminata (dwarf banana). RNAcentral's name for it is "long non-coding RNA (MACU_LNC003372)". The record is from RNAcentral. Lineage: Eukaryota; Viridiplantae; Streptophyta; Magnoliopsida; Zingiberales; Musaceae.
ACGAAUAUAUGAGCCAGUUUUAUGAAGGAAAUUAUAUAUGGUCUUUGCGACCCGUGAAUUUUAUGAAAGAAUUGUGACACUGAAUGUACAAUCAGCCAGCCAUCAACGUAAACGCUAAUGUUUGUUGCCGCAAUACGUCAUUGAUCAACGGUCGACUUAAUUCAAGUAGAUUUGUGUUGAAAAAAGAUCACAAGCACAGAGAUCAGUCGAGUCAUUCGUUCCCAACAUCGGGUUUCUUUGUUCCCCUCUUCCUCUCUCUCUCUCUCUCGUUACGAGGCAGGCUACUGCAAGUAGAAGGCAAAGAAGGAGAGGACGGCGGCCCCAAAGGCGGCUCCAACAGCAGGGGUGAUCGCGAAGGACGCGCUGGCGGGGCCGGGAGCCGGAGCCUCGGCUGCAAGGGCGGUGGUGGCCGACGCGGCGGCGACGAGGACGGCACAGGCGAUCUUUCCCAUCUCCAUUUCUGGCGGCGGUGUGGCUUUAGAGCUGCGGAAGAGAUGAUAGAGAGGGAGAAAGAGAAACUUUCUUAGGAUGGCUUGUUCCUCCUCCUCCUCUGCAGGCCUGAGGAGGAAUGUGGGAUGGGAAGGAGGGUUUUCUAGGGUGUUUCCGUGGUCGGGAUGGAUAGUCGGAGUCGGAGAUGCCAACUUCAAAGCUGUGCGUUGUAAUUAGAGGAGCGUUUUGCGUGCGUGGGAAUCGGUCAUUUGGUCAACCUCGUUGACCUGGGCCAGUUGUGAAGCUUAAUGUAAAAAAAGCUUAUAAAUUAUAUCCGACCAAUAAAAAAAUAUUAUCUUAUUGCCCCAGCAGACCAUAUGAGUUGGAAUUCCUUUUAGCUUGAUCCAUUUAUUCGGUUUCAAUUUUACGUGUAAAGCGUAUAUAAUUUAUAUGUGAGAAUACUUCUCUGACUACUAAAGUUUUUGGAAUUAUUAAUAUAUAUAUAUAUAUAUAUAUAUAUAUAUAUAUCUCUCUCUCUCUCUCUCUCUCUCUUCUAUCCGAACCGAACCGAACCGGCCCGAACCAAUCCCACCCCUCCCGACUCAUUUCCGGCUCUAUCUUGCUUCUGCUGCUGUCAUCGUUCCUUCCCCCGUCCAUGGCGGAAGCAAAAGCUGAGACACCCACCUGGGAGCAAAGAAUGCACACUCUCACCCACAUCUUAACCCACCCCACCACUGCGCCAUCCCUCCACUCCCAGCUCUUCGUUGCCUCCCACGUCCCCUGCUUCCUCUCCUGGGAUUACCCCCCUUUCCUAUGCCGCCCGGCCCCUUUAGCCGCCGGAUUCCCCCCGCCGCUUCUCCGCUGGUCCUUCGCCAUCUUCCUCCGCCGCUCCUCGCGCCUGGGCCUACCCGCCUCUUCCUGGCGCGCCAAGUGCCCCUUCCAGCAGCCGCCGCCCCUCGUCCUCUCCUCCGCCGUGGACCCGCCGCCUCUUCGCUGGGGGCCAGAGGAGCGCCGGGAGUCCGUUCGCAAGCGUCUGAGGCGGGGGCGGAUCGGUGUCAGGGUCUCGCCCGUCCUGGCCUUCGCGGUUCCCAAUCUCGCGCUCCUCUCGCUUCUCUUCUGGGAACCGCUCUGGCGUCUUCCGGAGACCUAAAGUUGACGCCCGGUACGCUUUUGUUCAGAAUCCAAUCAUCGUAUAAGCUUUCUGUGGCUUUCUGUAAUAGCAGAGACUACAUAGAGGAUGAAUUCAGUGCUUUCAUUAGAACAUGGCUACCGCAUAUGGAUAAUUGUUUUUUUUAUAUAUUUUUGGUUGGAAAACUGUAUAAUUUAAUCCAGAAAAAAAUGAUUUAUGAUUUAGAAUCAUUCAUGCAUUAGCCUAAUAUAGAUCAACGUGAACUCUCUUUGAUAAACUAAAAUAUUAAAAUGCUGGUCAAAACGAUUAAUCUUAUCUGAUAUAUUUUGAAGUUAACACAGCAAAAGGAUUCACAAAUAAAAACGCAAACGUCCGUAAAUUGUUGAAGCUUCCACAAAAGCCAGACAGACUAAGCAAUAAAUUUACCCUUUUAUUUUUGGUUGUCUCGUAAUACCUUCUACAACUUGGCCAACUCCUGACUGAAUAGAAGUAAUCUAGUCUAGUUAGUAAAGAUUUUGACAGUAAGUUCUUGAGCUCAAAUCUCACCUUAGUUAUUUGCCCUUUGCAAAAAAAAAAACUUAAAAUGCUGAUUGAUGCCACCAGAAGUUCCAAUUUCUCUGACUAAUAGACUUUUUAUUUGAUGUAUUUAUUCAUGGUUGUCCUCAAGUCACAGGAUUUGAUCAAUUCUGUAAACUAUGGCUAUAAGCAGUGGCAGGAUAAUCUGACACUGACUUUGUUAUCACAUCAUCAUAGAGCUAGUUGAUUACAAUUAGUUUUCUUGUAUGCCUUUUUUUCUUCAUGUAUGUCAUCCUGCAUAAAAUCGUAAAACUUGUAAGUUAUUAAAAAAAAAAAAAAAAAAGCUUUUGAUGGUGGGAGUUUAUUGACUAGGUUAACAAACUGCAAGUUCAUGUUGAAGAUUUUCCAUUCACAUAAUAUUGUUUAAGAUCAAACAAGGGGUUCAUUCCUUGUCUCAUAUAAAAAGAUAAGAUUAAUAUGACAUGUCUGGAGAUAGAUUAUCUCUAGAAUAAAAGUCUGCAGCAUUUUGUUUGAUGCAGCAGCAAAGUUAACUGUCAGAUAUGUGAUUAUUUUGUGGCUAUUACAAAUUUUUUUAUGUGUGGUAUCAUUACGGUGCCCAAAAGGCAUUAAGAAAUUAAGUUUAUCAUGAUUUUAGACUGAUGUGGUCAGUGUGGUUUCAGAUGAGAUGUUUUAGCCUUCAUCAUGAGCACAAUGUAUUCAUUUGUUGUGACCUUCAUUUGGGAAUUGCGGAAUCUAAUGCCAAGGUAUUAAUAAUGGAUAAAGAACUUACAUCUGGUCAGAUAAAAAUAGUAAAUAAUAAUAUCUUAUUAUAAUGAUUGUAUUUGAUGAAUUACCUUUUUGCUAUUUGAGCAAAGCAAACUGGAAAUUGCAUCUGCCAGUAUAGUUUCAUAGAGACAUUUUUUUCUGGAAUGUUUAAUACUGGUUUAAAUAGGUGUCUGGGCACUCGUCCAAGUGUUUGGGUGAGGUGAGGUGAGGCCUGAGCACCUCAGGCUUCGACCAGGCGGCACGCUUCAACGAAGCAUCGCUUGGGCACUCACUUGAACCCAGGUGCCUGGCGCCUCAAGCGAGCGCUCGAUUCAAACGAAGCAACCGAAUCAGACUUUUUAAGUCUGGUUAGGUUGAACAGUAACUAGUUGGCUCGAUUGAACCAACUAAGCUCGAACAAAUGCUUGGUUCAAAUGAAGCAACCGUGCUAGACUUUUUAAGUCUGAUUUUGUUGAACAGUAGCUAGAUGGUUUGAUCGAACCAACUAAGCUAUGUACUAUUACUGUACAUCGCUGGCCCUCCCCGCAUGACCCCGAGCCAUGAACCCUAGCGCAGCUACUACCUCCGCUACCAAUCUACAGGACUGACACUUCCUCGAUCGUAGAUGGACAGGUCCGAUGGCCUAACCUUUAUACGCGGUUCCUUCCAUUAUUGCUACUUCCAUGUGCAACUCCCUCCACUGUCGAGGGAGAGGACCACAGCUUCAUCUAUCAUCGACGGACACCUUUGAAGCUUCCUUCACCCACGACAUCAUUGUCCACAACUUUUGUCAUAUUUGCUACUGCCAUUUGCAGCUUUCUUCUCCGUUGUUGUUGUCGUUCGAAGCUUUUGCCUCCGUUGUUGUCGUCUAAAGCUUCCUCCGCCACUAUUGCUGUCGUCUGUAGCUUUCUCCAUCGUCGUCGUCGUUUGUCCGAAAGUUCCUUCAUAUAUAUAUAUUUGAAGUCUUAUCCUUCAGCAAUUCUAAUAUAUAUUUUUCCCUAUCUUUAGUACAUAAUUUGUGAUAAAAAAAUUAUCAUAAGCUUUAUAUCUUGUAGUUCUUUCAGCAUCUUUUUUAGAUUCUUUAUAUCUAUCUUUUAAAUUUCUCCUUAUUUUUAUAAUUUUAUCAAUCCUUAAAACUUGAUAUUUUAAUAAUAAUUGUUUUAUGAACUUUCUCUCACCAUCAUCAACUCUCUCUUAAAGUUAUACUUCUACCUUUAGUUUCAUCAAAGAUAUUUUUUUUUAAGGUCCUAAUCUUAUUAGCAAUUGUAGUCUAAAUAAUAUCAGUACUAUGUUUGUCUAAGUUUCAAAUCUUCUCUUUUUUUUUUAUCCUAUUCUUAAAAACUUUUGCAUCAUCGAACCCUAGUAAUUUUUUUCUACAAUCUUUUACUUUUUCUAUAUUGUACAACAAAUAUGUAUAAGGUUAUAAUUCUUACAUAUAAUUUUGCCUAUCUAUCUUUGUAACGAGAAAAAUGUCUAUAACUAUUCUUAUAAGUAAUCAAAUAUUUAUGUUUGUUCUUGUAGUGAGUAUUGACAAUUAAUUAUAAGAUGGGUGAUAAAAUCUAAAAUCAUAUCACCAUCUUCGUUCACUCCUUUUUAUCUUUGGCUCAGUCUUUGAUUUGCAAUGUUCCAUUGAUGUCUUUCCAGUGUUUUGAUGUUCGUGCACUGUGUUUAUGUGCAGGUUAUCCGAAUUGAUGAAGCAGCUCUCGGAGAAGGUUUGCCUCUUGGCAAGUCGGAGCCGGCUUUCUAUCUGGAUUGGGCCGCGCACUCUUUUCCAUUGAACUUUUUCAUCAAAUGUGAAUUAUUAUAAUAUUUUUUUAAUUUGGUUUAUUUAUAAUAUUUUUUAUAAUAUAUAAUAUUUUUUUUUUGUUGAGAUAUUGAAAAAUAUCGUAAAAUCAUUGAAAAACACUGUAAGCGAUAUAUGUGCCUCUUUAGGUGUCAUUCAUUGCUUCUAGAUCGAUAUGAUAAUAUAAUUUUAGGCUUGUAAAUUAGGUUGAUUGAGGUUAAAGGUUCAUUUAUGUUAUUCACAUGUUUUCAAGAAGGUCUUAUAGUAUUUUUUUUAUUAUUAUGGUAACUAAAACAUUAUAAUAAACUAUUUUUUUUUAGUUCUUAUUUGGGUGAUGUUAUUAUUAAAUCAUUAUAAAUAUCUAUUUGAAUGUUAGUGUGAUUUUAUUUUGAUUUGGGUGAUGUGUUUUGAUUUCAUUUGGCAUAUUGUAAUAGUGGUAUAGUAUUUUUUGUUGAGAUGGUAUUGAAAAAUAAUAAAUCCUACAAGAGACAGACAUAUUAAUGUUAUGGCUUAUUUGGUUGUAUUAAAACAAUAUCUUAAUAUUUUUCAAUAGAGAGAACGAUGUAUGAUCAAUGUCAGAAAAGUUCAUGUAUCGAAAUGGGGAUUGAGCCAAUCCGAAUGCUUAAACAGAAGAAUGAAACCACUCAACCCCAUCAUAGAACGGAUGGGCGCUCCCAAGUUUAGUAUUCUUACGACAUAUAUAUAUACUCUUUCGUCUUUCGUAUAGCACCGAUCUAUUAAUAUCGAUCCACCAUAAGUCAGCUCAUGUUUCUAAGAGAAGGCAUGUUUAAAUCUCAAACAUUAAAGUGUUUGUGAAGCAAAUCAUCAUGAACUUGGAUUUCCGAUGCGGUGGAGAGGUUCCAAACAAGCAGGUAACUCCAAUUUAAGUGAUUUAUAGGAAAGCUCGAGUCCGACGAAUUCAUAACGCGACACGACAUAACAUAGGAGUUCAUUGGUUGGGUUGGGAUGCCAAUGUUUGUUAGUGAUGAAACAUUAUUUAUGACACCGAGGAGCCAUCCGAUGGAGGAUAAUACAAGUAUCAUCAAACGCCGCAACCAAACACGAUGAGAGAAGAUCGAAACGUACGACAUUGUAGCCAUCCCAAUAUAAGGUUUGGGUGAUUAAUCACAUCAACGAUAGGAGAUCCAAUGAAAACCAAAUAAAAACAUAUACUACGCUUUAUUGAUUUCUCGAUUCAAUAAUCAAGCAUUCUAUCAAGAAGCAAGGUGCCACUACGCUUUAACUUCAAUUUAAGGGUUGCACAACAAAGGUCCAAAAUAGUCCACUACAGAUCGAAAUCUCCCACAAGUGUUCACAUGAUAUAAUAUUUAUUUAUAAGUCUAAAAUGACCAUCAAACCCAAUUAAAUUUAGGGUUGUUAAGCUUUCGACCGUCCAAUAAACCAAAAGACACGGACAUACUUACGCAUUACAUCGAACACUCCGUUUAUAAUUUUGUCCGUGACAUUCUCCCCCACUUAUUCCUUCGACGUUCUCGUCGAAGCCUUUGUCGACACUGCAACUCAUCGUCUUUGCUGAGUCUUCAAUCUUCUGCUCCAAUUACAAUUCGCCUCUUGGCUCCCAACUACUCUCCGCUACUGUUGUUGAGUAGUCGAACUUUUGAUCUAUCAUGCUGUUUCAACUCACUAAUGACUCUGACUCUUGUAUGGGGUUGGCUGAGUUAUGUUAAUCCCUGUUGAUUUCUACAGAUCCUUCAGAUAAAGGAAAAGAUCAUCAUUACUAUGCGUCAGUCUCUCAAAUACCUUAUGCUUCUUGAACUUGGUGGAUGCUUGUUGGAGCUUUAACGAGCAUCGCCUCGUAAACUUUUAAAGUUUUGGAUCCUUCCUCGAUAAAAGUUAUCUAUCGACCCUUCUUUCACUUAAUUGUUAUUUCCAAAUAUAUUCGCAUCCUUUUGAUUUCGAUUGACAUUCUAUUGGGAAAUGAAGCGGAUAAUCUACUCUCAGUAGCAUUGAUCACCAUCGGUGAUGAUUUGAUAAAUAUUAUCUUCCAUUAUCUUCAAAGGGUAUUUGAACCUAUGCAGAGCUCCUCUAUUGAAUAGAUAAGAGAAUUGUGGAAUUCAGUUUCGUCUAUUCUCUUAAGAGUUGAGAAGGCAAAGGUUACUUGACUUCACUUGUUUCCUCGAAGGUUCUACUCCAUGCAUUGAGUUAGUUACUAGCCUUCGCCUGCUCUUUGCUCAUGCUUCUAAAGUACUUGAAGUAUUUACACUCCAUGCAUUGAGUUAGUUACUAUGAUUCACCUUCUCAAUGUCAUCGAACUUCUAGAAUACAAGAAGUUUUCACUAUAACUUAGAGCAAGUCUCUUGUAGUUUAGGUUGCCUUUAGGAUUGCACCGUCUUCUCCAUCAACCCUAUCGCCUACUCCACCGAGUAGCAAAGGUACAACACCACGUAUUGCCUACUUCGUUUCUUGGUCGUGCACUCUUGCACGACCUAAAGUCCUUCACUUUCAGCUAUCUUGAUGAAAAGCUCAUUGACAUUGGUCUUAUGAAGUUCCUUGGUCUCUCUGCCCUUCAGCCUUGUCUCGGUACUUGGAGUUUACCUCUAUAUGCUCCACCUCCUCGGUCCCUUUCAUGACCAAGUGCUCUCCCUCCAUGAGAGCAAGGGAUCGAUGACUUCACAGAAGUUCCGCCUCUACGGUACCAUGGUGCUGCCAUGCCCAUGGUCCUACUAUCCGUCACAUCGCAUCUGCAUCCUUUUUCUUCAAGAUCGGUAGAUCUAUCUCUGUGGCACUUUGGCACUCCUCCGAAUCCACCUUCAUUCUAAUCGAUGCUUAGUUUUUUUGGAUAGCUAAUCUCUAUGGACUCAUCAUCACUUCCUCACCCCUUUCGACCCCCUGCUUCAACACUUCUGUGUUCUCCAAGCAGUUCCUCUUAGUCGAUGGAAAGACAAACUGUAACUCUCAUAUAUGGCCUCUACCAUCAUGUUGCAGGGUUCAUACCGAUUCUAUUCUCCUUGGCUUCCUCGGUAGCAAUGUUCACUUACUCGACCUUGUCCUCUGACUUGUCGAGCUCCCUUAAGCGAAUAUGGGCUCUAGAGUAGCCCAACUCUCCAACUGCUUCGAUCAUACCUCUGCAUGAUCAAGUCCCUCCCAUGAGAUUCAUUAGUACUUGCAUUCAAACUUUUCCCUCGGUGGUACGUAGCCCUCAUAUGUUGAGGACCAAAGCUUUCAUCCGAUGCAAAAUUCGAUGCACGCACGGAAGACCCACCUCUAUGGUACCAUAGCCUUCACUCAUUGAAUCCAUAACUCUUCUUAUCGUCAUGUUGUUCACCGAAGUGGAGCUCCCAAUAGCUCUUGAUCAUACCUUUAUAUGAUAUAGUCUCUCACGGGACUAGAUUCGUGUGUAUCACAUUGCCACGAACUGUUCUACCAUGAUCUGUUGCACCAUGUCGCUUCCUGAUGACAUCUUUAUUGCAUUCUGAUCCUUGUGGGAUGAACUCGAAUUGUAAUCCCUCCAUGUGUGGCCUCUGCCAAUACAUUGCAAGGUCUCUUUUACCUUCGAUUUUGUUCGCUCAUUUGGCAAUUGACCUUCAUCCACCUGCUCUUGGGUCAUGCUUAGAUGAAGCAUCGCUCUAGGACAGUCCGUCACCUAGUAGCUCUUGAAGUCCACCGACUUCGCUGAAAAUGGUACACCAUUGUCUGGAUCCUGGGCCUUUGCCCCUACCAGCAUAAUCUUCACUGUGCACCACUUCCUUCAUGGCAACUCAAAUGACAACACUAUGACAUAUUCUUCAAGAGUACCCGCCUCCGUGUCCUCUUGCCCCAUGCCGAGGCCUUCUGAACCCAACUUCGCCUCCGCAAGUUGAGUCACCUCAGUUCUCCAUCAAAUGCUUCUCCGAGAUAAGGUGCAUGUGCCCAGAAGCUCCCUUCAUCUUUAGCACCAUGCAAGAUAAGUCCGCUCCGUCAAAAUGAAGGACCCAUAAAAUAAUAUGAUCCUGCUUUUGCCUCUGCAAGAGUUCAUGUCCUUGACCUCUGUCCAAGGAAAGCUCUGUGCCUCUGCUUCAUGUUCCAUCUUCUAUGUUGGCUCCCUUCAUGUGACUUGGGUACUUCGUCAAGUUACACCCAAGUUGCUCUGCUCCUCGUUUUGCAUUGAAUUGAUGGUGGCCCUCGCGCCCACCAUUCUACGGGUCAGCCCUCCCUUGAGUCCGAUCUUCAUAUCGACUCUAAGUGUGCCUUCAUUUGUGUUGUUUUGGGUUGCUCCCCCACUUGAUCUCGUAAUGCAUUCUCUCAAGCAAGAUCAUGCGACAACUUCUCGCCGCUCGCUUGGUCCAUUGAGCUUCAUGGAGUUAUUGUUUUUGAGGUACUCCUCCUCAACAUGUGCAGUCUAUUGCAUAUGAUUCUCUCUUUAGAGAACUGGGAUCUAUCCCUCUUGGAUAACUAUCCUAUUAGAGCAACAUCUCUCUACGCUUCUUUCUCUCUGAAAGUUUCGGAGACCACCAUCCCCUUAGACUACUCUGAUUUGCUGAACAAACUAUGCAUUGUUCUACCUCUUGCAAAUGCACUUGCUAGAUUGCGACUCCAUGUCUAUAAAGCCCACGCUGUACCACUCAAGGCUUAGCAACAUGUUAAACUCGCUGCACACUUUAGCCUCCUAUGGACGUAUUCUUCAUAUGCCGAAGAGAAAGUUUCAAUGCUCCAUGGCACCGAGUUUCGGUUGCCUUGGGAUGGCCACGAACAUUCCAUCGUCCACAUACAAGCUCAUGCAUGAGUACCGAAUUCUUCGAGUUACCAAUUCCCCUUAUCUUUGUGAGCUUUGCACAACUCUUUCGGUUGUUAAACAACUCAUUCCACCUUGUAUGGUCUCAUCCUUUACCAAGCGCCUCGCUUGCCUUGAGCACCAUCAAGUAUAGUUGUCAACGUCGCGCCGUAGCUUGAACUCAGCCAUCCCAAGCUUUGUGCGCUUCACAUUCUUCCAAGCUUACUUGUUCUCGUGGUGCCUCUUGCGUGAAGGGUUGGUCAUUCCUCUAAAUGCCAAUAUUAGAUGCCCACUCCUCCGAGCGACUCAUUUUUCCUACAUCUCCAUGCCCGUUUGUCCCUAAACGGUCACGCGUGUGCUGACUGCCCUCAACACAGCCCCACUAGGUCUCCCACAUUUGCAUGCCAAGUGUUUCUUUAAGUGCUUGUCCCGCUCUAAUACCAUCUGUCAUAGACUUAGCUGGUUUUGCCUAAGUCGUGCGGUACCCUUACGUGUCCGUCCAUAAAUUUCAGCCUCCCUAAAGCCUCCCAUGGUCCCUUAGGACAUACAAAAGAGAAAACGAGUUAGAGAAAACGCUUCACUCGGGAUCCACAAGCAAACAUUUUCGAAAACACUUCAUAGAUAAUACAAAUUACAAACAGACUUUACAAGCUCUGAAUGGUUGCACAACAAAGGGUCAAAAUGAUCCACUACAGAUCAAAUAUCUCUCACAAGUGUCCACAUGAUAUAACAUUUAUUUACAAGCCUAAGAAGGCCACCAAACCCAACUAAAAUGGAGUUGUUAAGCCUUCAACCAUUCCUCUACAUGCUGUGCAAAGCAUAAACAAACAGAAAGAUACGGAUAUACACAAGUAUUACAUCAAAUAUCAUGUUUAGAACUUUGUCUGUGACAGCUCCAUGUUUCAUCUUAUAUGCCAGCUCCCUUCAUGCGGCUUGGGUACUUUGCCAAGUUACACCCAAGUUGCUUUGCUCCUCGUUUUGCAUUGAGUUGAUCAUGGCCCUUGCAUCCAUCAUUCCAUGGGUCAGCCCUCCAUUGAGUCUGAUCUCUAUAUCGACUCCAAGUAUGCCUUCAUUUGUGUUGCCUUGGGUCGCUCCCCCACUUGAUAUCGUAAUGCAUUCCCCAAAUGCAUUAUCUCAUGCGAUGAUUCCUCGUCGCUCGUUCGGUCCGUUGAGCUUUGUGGAGUUGUUUUGAGGCACUCCUCCUUAACAUGUGUGGUCCGUUGUAAAUAGUACUCCCUCUGGAGAGUCGGGACUAAUCCCUCUUAGAUAUCUAUCCUGUUGGAACAACUUUUCUCUUCGCUUUUUUCUCUCUGAAAGUUUCAGAGACCAUCAUCCCCUCGGACUACUCUGCCAUGCUAAACAAAUUGUACAUUGUUCUACCUCCCGCAAAAGCACUUGCUAGAUUGCAACUCAAUGUCAAUACAAUUCCCGCUGUACCACUCAAGACCUAACAACAUGCUGAACUCGCUGCACACUUUAGCAUCUCAUGAAUAUAUUCUUCUCAUGCCAAAAAGAAAGUUUCAUUGCUCCAUGACGUCGAAUUUCGGUUGCCUUGGGAUGACCACGAAUAUUCCAUCAUCCGCAUACAAGCCCUUGCAUGAGUAUUGAAUUAUUCGAAUUAGCAAUUCCUCUCACAUCUACAAGCUUUGCAUAACUCUUUCGAUCGUAACUCGAUCGAUAACCAAAAUGAAUCAUCAAGGAACAUAAAAGAUUGGAAUGUAAAUAAGGAUGAUGGACUCUUGCAUCAUUAAUUGUUUUGUUGUUUGAACAAAACAAUGAGCCAACAAGUAUUUGAAAAUUUGCCUUUGAGUAUAAUCAAAGAAGCAAAACAAUUUUGGUGAGAGAGUAAAAAUUAAUCUAAAGUGGAUAAAAUGAUGCUACGUGAUGACGAUUAAUUAGCAAUGCUAUUGGCAUUUUAGAGAUAAUUUAAUGCAAUAAUAGAACCAAGUGUUCUCCAUCCAAUAUAAGAAGAAAAAAAGAAAAAAAAAGUGAAUCUAUCUAUUUAUAGAGAGAUAUUUUAAAAAUAUUAAAAACACUAAAAUACAAAAAAUAAAAUAAAAAUAGCGAAAAAGGGUUAUUGAUAGAAAUAUCCAAUUAUUAAGACUAAUUGAUAGACCCAAAACUAGCCACAAAAUGAGUUUUCCGAAAAAUAAAAAAAUAAAAAUCUAGGAAGGAAAAAAUAGAAAAACGUUUUUUUUUCAUCAUCUUUUUACAUGAUUUCUUCACGUGCAUCUCUAAUUUCUUUAUGGAUUUCAUCUCUAUUUUUGUUCCUCGUUACCGGUGAAUUCUCUCUCCAAAACAAAACCUUAUGAAAAUUAUGCUCAAUAGGAAUCAACCAGAAGGAAAAAAAUUUGUGGUUAAUUUCUCUUUAAAAAUUGGGAUUAUUAUCUAAUAUCCCAAACUAAUCAACUUGGGAUUGACCAUCAACCAAUAACUAAGCUUAGUGUCUGAAUCCGAUCCGAAAAAUGGAAGGUAUAAUAAUGUGUGAAUCCGAUCCGAAAAUAGAAGGUACUAAUGUGUUUGAAUCCGAUCCGAAAAAUGGAAGGUACUAACGUAUCCAUUUGGGUCCAUAAAGUUAUCGGUUUUUGGAUACUGCACUUAGAGGGAUCCGUUCCGGAUCCAACCCGACAACACCCUGGUCCACGGCACUAUAAUGGGGGAGAAACUGGGACGCAGAAGAAAGGCAAAGGGCAAAAAAAUCCACGGCGGGGGAUAGCGAGAUGCGACCGAACGUCGUCACCGAGGUAAGAGGUCUUCCCGUACCCCCCCCCCCUCCCUUCUUCUUCUUUUUCUGAUUUGUGCUACAUAUAGCCUAUGUUGGAUGGAUCCACUGGUCUUCCUCGGAAUGCUUCGCCGUCCGGGAUUCUGAGUAGCUCCACUUCACUUUUCUUUGCGAUAAUUGGGGUUUUGCAGCUUGUUCUGUGGGAUGAGCGAAAUGUCCGCUAAAGAAUCGCAUAUUUCUAGUUUCAUUUCUUCGCUGUUGUUUGCUUGUUUGGUUCCUGCGGAAAAUGAAGUAAAAUCGAGGUUGUGGGAUGAUUACGGUUUGAGUGUUACAGAUCUUGACCUAGUUAUACUUGGGGUAUAUCAUGCAAAAUAGAUAUUUUAGUUGUGGACUUGUUCGGGGGAGAAUAACUUCGUAACAACUUGCUUUGAACUGGUCUGGAGGUUGCUGGUUAUUGGAGGAUCUUUAUUGUUAUUCAGCAAAAUAAUCUCGAUAUUUAUUAGUAGCAUAUUGUGGACUUUGAGAUUGAUCUAUACGUAUAUUUCCAAUCCUGUCUAAAACUAAUAGAAAAGUGGAUAUUACUGAAGUUCUUUACCUCUUACUAGAAUUAAUGCAGAUUUCUGGCAUGCCAAGGAUAAGGAUUAUAGAAAUGUUGCAUAGGCAACUGAGAACUUACCAUUAGUUCCUAUAUGAUCAACAGCCAGUAUAUAAUUGGGACAAGAAUUUUGGUUAAGUUAAGCACAUACAAACUUUAAAGACUAUUUUGCUAUAAUGAUUGCAGUUCUUGUGCUGUAAGUUCUGCUACAGCACUUGGUCAUGAAUUUAAAUACGCGGAUCUGUGAAAUUCCUUGUUAUGCCAAUAUAAUAAAUAAUCACAAUUGACGGAAGGAUAGUGGUGGAAGAAACCUUUUCCAUGGAAUGGAAUUUUUAAUAUGGAUGAUGUGCUUCCACAUAAACCAUAGGCACAGUCAUAUGAUUAGCAUCUGUAUGUUCAUUUGGAACUGGAAGUUCGAUUACAAGGACAAAGAAUUUGGACUCUGGAUGAUUAUGAGAUCUUGGCAUGAUUUGGCUAUGAAGACUUGCCAUAACGGAAAUUAUGUAUUUAUUAAAUCUUUUUUUUGGUAAAAUAUUGAUGGUUUUUGAGGCCUAGGGAAAAAAUAAUGCUUCAAAACAGCAUGGAAGCAAUGUUGUUAGGGUGCAAGAUGUUCACCUUUAAGUCAUCUUUCAUAUUUAGAGUCUUAUGUUUUUGAACUAGUGACUCCAACUUCAGAAUUUUGUUAACUUUCCUCAAAUAGACUGUUUUUGUGUUAUCGAACGUUUUAAUAUGUCAAAGUAAAUAUCUUGUUUAGCUAUGUCCAACAAUAAAUAGAUAAUUAAAAAAUGAUAUGAAGAUUGAUGUAAUAAAACAAGAUUGGUAUGUUGCAUAUAUAUCAUAAGAGGCUAGAAGUGGGACUACAUUACUGUUUUCUUACUUGUGGUGAUGUUGAAUGUUGGCACCUGGGCCUCAAUUCUAUAUGCCGGAAGCUUGCAUGACUAAUUGCUUGAGGAAUAUUGACAAAGUGAUGUGUUAUAUUAGUUGCUUAUUUUUUAUAAGAAAAUGAUAGUCUUAGAGUCUGAAAGCAUCAUGUCUGAGUUAAAGAUACAUAACCAACUUGAAGUGCUAUUUUCACCUCUAGUGAUUAUGUGACUUUAAUCAUAUCAACAAAAGUUGAAAUACCUCGAAAAACAUUGAAGAAAUAGCCAAUGACCAAGAAGAUUCUAUUCUAGGGAAAAUGGAGAUUUGACUUUGUUCAUAUGCAAGGUCUUUUCUUAUUUACAAAAUGUUUUUGUAGAGUUUGUACAUUUGAUUGGUAAAAUGAAGUCAACUUUUCAAUGCUUUAAUAUGUAAAUUUCUCCUCAAACCAUCAUUCAAGUAAAUUUAUUAUGGUUAUAGACUUAUAGUGCAGUCAUUUGUAGAUGGUAGUUCCUUUUUUAAUGUACGAUUACUAGAUAAUCGUGGGCUACAUAUUUUUGCCUAUUUUGAUGCAGGAAUAUUUUAUUUUAUUUAUUGUUUGAAUAAAUAUGAUUAGAUUAUGGAAAUUCAAAUGUUAUCAAUUGCCAUAUAGAACUCUGCAUUAUUUCUAGUUUACUUUCUUAGAUACUCAAGCUAAAGAAAAAUAAUGAAAUAAAUGCAAAAAAAAAGAAGAAAGCAUAAUUUGUUUUGAUCGAAGACUCCAAAUCUGGAUUGAGGAUUUCUUCUCUAUGAGGAAGAUUCAUUCUUUUACAAAGAUAGAAUAUUAUCAAUUAAGAAUAUCAUCAAAAAAGAAUAUUAUUCAAUGAAUCAUAUAUAGAAAUUAAUCUUCUUGAAAGAAGGAAAGAGUAGAUUUAUUUGUUUUUAAAUAAUUGUAAUAUUUCCUUAUUUCUAUAUUCUUCCUAUACUUAAGGUCUAUAAGAAGAAUAAAGAAAUAUUAUAAUUGAAUGAGAAAAUGAACUAAUGAAUUAAAGUUCGUUUUUCACAUUAUAUAUGAGUAGUGUGAGGCCAUAUUCAUUUUUCAUUGGCAUGAUUCCAUUGUUCACAUGUGAAACGAAGGCACAAGAGUGAUAUCAGGAGGCCCUCGGGCGCUCGCCUAAGUGUUCAGGUCAGGUGAAGCGAGGUGAGGCGAAGCUAGUGCGCCUCAAAUAGGGUUUGGGCGGUUGCCUUCAAUUGUGCGUCGCGUAGACGUGUGCUUGGGCCAGGGGUUGGGUGGCCUAGGUGCUUGCGCAGCCCAAUUUGAAUCCUGAUUGAAAGUGACUUAGCUUGAGUUGAACCAAAAUGUUACAAUUGGUUCAGCCAAGCCAAGUCCUAACUCCAAUACCGUGUCACAGGCUCGCUAGUGAGAGAAACCCUAUUCUCGUUCUCUCGAUCGCCCUCUUAUCCUCAUUGCCAUUGUCACCGCCUCGCCUCCUCUUCACCUGAGGUCAUAGCUCCUUACUAUCGCCUCUUGUUGAACGAUUAUUCCCGUCGCUCCUCACAUCCGUGCGUAUGGCAGCGCUUCAUUGGUGGAGGUACCUCCUCUUCAAUCUCUCCCACCUGGUGUUGUACCUCUUGCCUCUCUUUCCUACUCGUUGUCGCUCUCCCUCUCAUCCUUCGUUGUAGGUCUCGUCAAGCCUCCUCGACACCCCCUCCCUCCUCACUGCUUCUCACCCCUUUGCUUUGCCUCUCGUUCCUACUCAUUGUCGCUUUCCUACUUUCUCCCUCCUUUAUAGCCGACAAGUCUCCUUUUUCUCUAAAUCUUCCUUCUCAGCUUCUUUUGCUCCUUGACAACCCCAUACGAUCUGUCUUGAAUUUAGUAAUAAUGUUAAUUAUUAAUAAUAAUUAGUUUUUAUUAAUUAUAGUAUAUGAAUUGUUUAAAGGAUAGAAUUUGUCAUUGCUAGUAUUUUGGAGUGUCACUAGAGUUUUGACAUCUUCAAUCAUAGCUAAUGUAGUUUUAGGAUUAUUAUUAUUUUUUUAUUUUAGGAUUUUUUUAUGUUCGUAGAUUAGAUGGUUAAAAAAAUUUACUUUGGUGUUUUAGUGGUGAUAUUUUGAAUACGAAAUAAUAUGAAACUCAUUUAUUGUCUAAUUUUUAUUUUAAUGAUUGUUUUUCUCGUUGAAUGUAUUGUUUAUAAUUUUUAUAUUGAUGGUUGCCUUGCUUUGCUUGGGCAAGUGUCCGAACCUAGCGCCUAGCAUCUUUGACAACAUAGGGUUCUUUAUUUUAGAAGCUUUAAUUUUAAGGGAUAUUUAUUGUUGGUCUUUUGCUUUUUAUUCUAUAAUUUUCUUAUAAAAAAGACACUUCCUUUAUCUUUGCAAACUUGUCCUACAUUAAAUUGAUAUAAGAGCUUCUACCUAAAAUAAAAUGUUUGAUCAUCAAGCUUAUUCAAGUUUUGACUAUUUGAACUCUGGACGAGUUCUUACAUAGCAAAAACAUAUAAUGUUAUUUAUUGCUUGAAUUAAUUUGAUUAGAUUGUGUGUGUUUUACAAAUGUAGUAAUUUGUCACAUGACAACAUCUUUAAUAUUUCUAUUUCAGUUCUAUAAAUUACUUAAGAUGAGAAAAAUGAAAGCAAAUAUUAAAAUGUCAAAGAAAUCACUAUUUGAUUUUAUUACAAUAACCUCAACAAUGAGGGUGUUAGUUAUAGCUAUUUGGAGUCGGCUUCAUGGAUUUUUUGUUGCCAUUGCGAUAUUUUAAAGCCCAUAUGUGUAGUUAAGUUAAAAAAUAUUUAAAUUUUUAUUUACAGUUUCCAUUAAAUUCUUUUUAGUCUUCAUUACCUCUCCUCACACUAUUAACGAUAUUCAUUUCACCUCUUUUAACUACCGCAUCUAUAGGUCUCUUAAGCACAUGUCCAUACUGUCUUAGACGAUUCUCUCAUUUUAUCCUAUAUUGAAUUGUUACCUAAUUAUUCACACAUAAAAAUAUAUUUUUUCCUUUCUUUGUAACUCGACAAAUUUAUUUCAACAUUUUCAUAUUAACAAUAUAAACUUUUCGUAUAUAUUGUUUCUUAACUGCGCAACACUUAGAUCCAUAAAGCAUUGCUCAUCUAACAAUUGUCAUAAAAUUUUCUUUUAAUGUCAAAGUUAUAUAUGAUUGUAGAAGACUCCUAACACCCCCACUAUGUUAACCAUUAUGUUUUUAUUAUAUGAAUAAUAUCUUCAUCAAUCUCUUCAUCGUGUUGGAUAAUUCUAACACUAGUAGUUAUAUUGUCAUACAUAUCUUUAAUAACAUUAAUAUAAUUAGUGGAUAUAUCAUUUUUUUUAUGACCCACCAUAAUAAAUCUCUAUGAACUUUAUUAUAGGAUCUCUCUAAAUCAAUAAAAAUCGUAUGCAAAUAUUUUUUUCUUUUAUAUUAUUCUAUUAAUUAUUUUAAUAAAUAAAUAGCUUCUCUUGUUGAUCUUCUAAGCAUAAAAUCAAAUUGAUUUUAGAGAUAUUUGUUUUAAGUCUUAUCUUAUAUUUGAUAGCCCUUUCCCAAAGUUUCAUAGUAUAAGUUAUAAUUUUAAUUUCUAUAUCAUUAUGAUAGUUUUGUAUGUCAUUUAUUCUUCUAUGUCACUAAGAAGCUCUUUCUUCAUUCAUUUUGCAUCUAUCUGAAUCCCAUAAUUUUGUUUAAUAGACUAGUGAACCAAGCUAUUCUCUAGUCUCCUAAAUUUUUUCAAACCUCAAUAAGGAUAUCAUUAGGUCCCUCACUCUUAGCUAUUUUUAUCUUUUUAAAGGCAUCCUCUAAUUUUACGAACAAAUUUAUGAUUGUUAAAUAUAUCAUUAUUAUUUGAAGUUACAUCAUUUGUGAAAUAUUUAUUAAAUAAUUUAUAAAAUAAUUUCUUCAUCAUUCCUUAAUAUUAUUAUCAUUAAUAAAUAUUGUUUGAUCAUCAUCUUUAAUGCAUCUAACAUUACCUAAUUCGUUAUCCUUUCUUUUUCUAGCUUUAGCAAUUUUAAUAUAUUUUUUUCUCGAUCUUUAGUACUUAAUUUGUGAUAAACAUUGUCAUAAGCUUUAUAUCUUGCCAUACUAAUUGUCCUUUUAGCAUCUUUUUUAGAUUCUUUAUAUCUUUUAAAAUUUUCCUUAUUUUUAUAGUUUUAUCAAUCCUUAAAACAUGAUACUUUAGUAAUAAUUGUUUUAUGAACUUUCUCUCGCCAUCAUCAACUCUCUCUUAAGCUACACUUCUACCUUUAGUUUUAUCACAUAUAUCCUUUUUUAUGGUCCUAAUCUUAUUGGCAAUUGUAGUCUAAAUAAUAUCAAUAUUAUCUUUGUUUAAGUUCCAAAUCUCCUCCUUUUUUAUCCUAUUCUUGAAGACCCUUACAGUAUCAUCUUUAAAACUUCAUCAUCUAAUCCUAGUAAAUUUUUUUGCUAUAUUUUUCUUUUUCUAUUUUGUACAACAAAUAUGUAUAGCUUUAUAAUUCUUACAUAUAAUUUUGCGUACCUUUCUGAUGAGAAAAAAGUCUAUAUAGUUGUGAUUAUUCUUAUAAGUAAUCAAAUGUUUAUGUCUGUUCUUGAAGUGAGUAUUGACAAUUAUAAGAUCAUACAUGGUGGUAAAAUCUAAAAUAAUAUCACCUUCUUCGUUUUUCUCCCAGUAACCAAGGCCUUGUGCACUUCUUUAAAUUCGCCAUAUAUUUUUCCUACAUGACCAUUCAAAUCUCCAAAAUCAUACGAGAAUGAUAUUAUCUAAGUUUUGUAAAUUUCUCUUUUGGUUUGAUCAACUAGUCCAACUUGAGUGACAUAAGCACUUAUGACCUGUAAAACAUCGUCUCCUAAGAAAAAUUUUAGAAGUAUAAUUCUAUCUCCAAAUCUUUUCAUAUCUACAAUAUUAUUCUUAAGAUUCUUAAGAACAAUUUCUGCACCAUUUCUAUGUAUAACUUUUCCUGUAUUUCGAAUCUUAAAUCUAGUACUAUCAAUACAACAACAACAACAACAACAACAACAACAACAACAACAACAACAAAAUCGAACUAUUUGGGGUUGGCUACAUGGCUCUUUUGCUGCCAUUGAGGUAUAUAAAAAGUCAUAUGUUUGGAUAAAUUUAGAGUACCAUCUUUAAAAUGCCAUUUGUAAAAUCUAAUACUAUCAAUAUCUCUAGAUUUUUCUCCUGUCCACUUAGUCUUUUUUAAGCAAAUAAUAUUUAUUCUUCUUUUGAUCAUAGUAUUUAUUAAUUUUAGUACAUUUCUUGAAAGUGCUUUUGUAUUUCAAGUUGCUAAUGUAAUCCUUUGAACUUGGGCUAACUUCUUUGCUCACAUUGGUUUAAAGAAAUGAGAGAACCCUUGUCUACUUUGCACCACAUUCGGACGCCUUUGUGAUGGGCCGUUUUCGAGUGACCUCCUAGCCAUCAUUUGCAAUUCGGAACACCUAGGUGGUGAGGGUGCCUCGCGUCAUUUUUGUGUAAUGACCUAGCCUUGUACUGAGAUUGGUUAAGAUCCAUGUUCAUGGGAUCUAGUUUACGCUGGUUGUCAAUGACCUAACGCAACCCUCCACCUUUUUCAUUGGGACUUAGGACCAGCAUUGGCAUGUUAUAAUUUGAUCUUUUUGAAGAUCAGAAGUUUGAGUUUUUCAUGGCUUUUGGCUUAGUAGGCUCCCAAAAUAUUUUUGUCAUAUACUGGUGAUAUGUUCAUGCUUAAACUUCUACUCGUGUGCUCUUUUAUGUUUCAUAGGCAAGGCUGCCAACAAGGCUGCAUCAGUGGUGGGCUACUGUUCCAUUUAUUACUUCUGGUGUCAUUAUCACUUGUGGUGUAAUUUAUCUGGUGUGCUUGCUGGUUGGGUAUGACUCCUUUUAUGAGAUAUGCUUCUUGCCUUCUGCAGUCGUUUCACAGUUUCAAGGUACAGUUUACCUCCUUUUGGAUUCAACUAUACGAAAUCUGUGGUUGUUUGAGUUGCAAUCAACAUUUAUUUUUUCUGUGAUGAUUAAAUAUCUUAUCUCCAGCCAACAGAUAUUUAUUGCCAUUUGAUAGUACUUUGUUAUGUUCUAUUAUGCAGUCAUGGUCAUUUAAUUUGCAAAGCAGUUGUUUAUCCUUAUAAUUUCCAUAAUACAUGCUGAAGGAAUGACGAGGCAUUGUAUUCCCAGCUGACAAAUAUUUAUGCACUUUAUCUAGGACUUUGUUAUUUCAUAUGGCUGACAUUUAGAGUAUAUAUUAGAUAAAAUUUUAAUACCAUGUUAACUAAGAGUGGUGAGGGUGGGCCUUGGCACAACAGGAAGGUUGCUUCUUUGGGAGAUCAGGCUCGAAGUACGAAAAUAGUUUCUCUAUAUUUAAUGGUAAGGCUGUGUACAUUGACCCUCUUCAGAUCCCGCAUUUCUGGGAGCCUCAUGUGCUAGUUACACCUUUUUCUUUUUUGUUAACUAAAAAUGGUGAAGGCAUAAUAUAAGGUGUUCAUAUUCUUAAUUAUGAAGGCAUGCCAUUCAAGUCUUAGUAUUUUAUAAUGCAAGGUGAUGUAUCGGUGAAAAUUAAUGUCAUCCAAUCAAAGGAAUUUGGUAAGCCUUGAUUUACUUAGACAUAGCUAGGAAAUGCAUGAAUUCUAGGUUCAUCAAUUUACUCAAAAGUUACUGUAAAGAACACAAAGUUAUUAGGAAGCCAGGAGAUCCUUAAAGUUGCUACUGGAGGAAAUCAACAAAUAGGAUUACUACAGAAUGUGCAUGUAGCAGACUCAAAAUAUUGUCGUCACAAUUCGAUGCUUGGUUAUGUGUCUUUCUAUGAAUGUCUUACAUCAAUAGUUAAAUGCUGUAUUAUGUAAUCCAAUUAGUCAUUUUUAUCUCUAAGUUUCUAACAUCUUUUUUAACUUCUUGCAGUAUAUAGGAUCUACACGUCUGCUCUUUUUCAUGGAUCUUUGCUGCAUGUUCUCUUCAAUAUGUUAGCUUUAGUACCUUUGGGCAUGGAAUUGGAGCGAAUAAUGGGUUCUGUUCGGCUUUUAUAUUUGAUGCUCUUUCUUGCAACUACCAAUUCUAUAUUUCAUCUCAUUAUUGCUGUAGUGGUGGCUGGAAAUCCAUUACAUCCUUUGCCAUUUCUCAUGAACCAAUGCUCCAUUGGCUUCUCUGGAAUCAUAUUCUCAAUGAUCGUCAUAGAAACAAGCUUGAGCGGUGUUCAAUCUAGAAGGUUGGUAGUGUUUUAUUGCACUUUGGCAUGUUCACUCAAAUCCACAUAUGGAAUUACUUGUUUUGCUUCUGUAAGCUUUUUGAUGUCAGUUAACACCACAAUCAAUAUCUGAUAACUUGUGAUGUUCUUGAUAAAUGGACCUUUCACAUUGCGUUGACCUAUACUGCUGUUUUGCAGUGUUUUUGGACUCUUCAAUGUUCCUGCUAAAUGGUAUGUGCCUGCCUUGUUGUCAUAGGAACUAAGAAGUCUUGUCAAUUCGUUUUUGUCUUGACUCGGUUAACUAUUUUUUUCAUGAUAAGAUGGAAACCUUCACCAUGGAAUUGUUUUUAUUUAGGUAUGCAUGGAUCUUAUUGGUACUUUUUCAACUUCUGGCAUCUAAUGUAUCAUUGUUGGGGCACUUGUGUGGCAUCCUGUCUGGGUUUGCAUGUUAGUUCUUCCAUUUCCUUUUGGCUCUCAUGUUUGUUCUUUAUGUUCAUUUUGUUCAUUAGUUAUUUGUUCUUUUGUUGUUUCAUCCAGACACAUAUGGAUUCUUUAACUACUUACUUCCUGGGCCAUCUGUCUAUUCUGCCAUUGAAAGCUUCUCUAUCCUGGUAAUUUUUUAAUUUGAACCAGCAUAUUUGGCCAUUUCAUGCAAGUCCUCUGUGAAGAUUAACCAUCCAAGGACCACACUACUAGAUGUUUGCGCUUAAGCAUUGCAACGGCAUGCAUGAGAUCUUACAUUCAUGUUCACAAGUAGAAAAAAAGUAUAUAUCACAGAUAAUUAUUUUAUACUGUUUAAGUGAUUUGAUCCAUUUAUCUAGCUUUACAACUUUCCUAGUUAUUGCCAUGCUGAAAUUUAAUAUUUGGUUUUGCAGUCAUUAUGUGUAAGGCGUCCUGGAUUUAUAUUGUGCACCGGAGGGACUACAUAUGGUCAGCUUCCCACACAUUCAAGUACAGCUACAAUGUCCAAGUAUGUCAGAUCUACAUGUUUUUCUGAUUAACUUGUACUUUGAGGACUUAAUUUCAUAUGCCCUUUAUGUAGUGGUCUGAGUUCAGGAAAUUUAUGGAGGAACAUCUCUUCAUGGAUGCCACAAAGGGCGGCAUCAACUGCUCAGGUAAAUGAUCUAUCAAAACAAAACCAAAUGUCUUGUAGUUUGGAAGUUGUUUGUAUAUGGGUACAACCGUACAAGAAUGCUACAUGCUAUGCCUGUGAUGAUCACAAUCUGGCAUAAUCCUUGCUAGCUGUACUGUGCUCAUGCUGGAUGUGGCAGUUCUCAACCCAAGGGCAUCAUGCAGCUGGUGGUGUCGUUGCAUGCAGUCACCAGCAUUUUGGAAAAAGCGCCGGUACACAUGGCACAUACACGAGCAAAUUAUGCAUUCUGUAUUAUGCAAUACUUCACUGCACAUACACAUGAGCACAUUAUGCACUCUAUAUAAUACAAUACUUCACUGGCAUAGUUCAUUGACCACAAGUCGUAUGAUCAAAUUUCCAUCCCUCUGGAGUGAAUACAUGUGUUUACCGUGACCUCGAGAUUUGAGGGCAAUAUCACUAGUUAAACUAAGAGCCAUUUUUGUUGUUUCUAACAACUGAGAUUUGAGGGCAAUAUCACUAGCUAAUCUCUUUAGGUUUUCCUCUACUUCUUGGAUAGUCAUUUUAAUCAACUUAUCUAGUCUAUCAUACCACCUUAAAGGGGUUUACCAUUGUUUUCCUUAAUUGGAACUACCCUUAAUUGUUUAAGAAUGGAAAUAUCUUGUAUUUUAUUUUAUUUAUUAAGGUAGUAACCCCACAUCCAUCUCAGCACAAUGAUCAAAGCUAGAUCUUUAAUUUGGUAAAGUCAUUAAAAAGAGAAGAUUAAUUUGUUGGAUUUAUCUGGUCUAGGCAGUGGUUCUAUCUUAAAGUUUCUCCAUCUUUGGCUUUACUCAAUAAGGAAGAAAAAGACUAGAGUGGGAAGUUAGAUAUCACAGUGAAGAAAACAUGUGGAUUUGUUAUGGCACAUAUUUCAGUAGUCUUAAAUUCUCUUGGACUGAGAUCAGUGUUCUUGUGACACAACUCAGUAGAUAAGCUACUCUAAUAGCAGAUGAGAGAUCAUUUUUGUCAAAAUUCAUUAUCUUGACUUGAUUUUAUGAUUAUCAUAAUAUCUUGACAAUGUAAUGUUCAUCAACCAAAUCAUAGGUUGUCCAAGACAGCUUCAUCAAAUACUAAUCUUUUAAUGCAGAGAUAAAGGGCUUGCAUUAGUAGCGAAAAGAUGAAUUGGUGAAAGAAUUGGAAAGUCGAAUGAUACUUGUCAAAUUCUGCUCUUUCUUGAUGGAUUAUUGAAUUAAUGGAUACAACAACAAAUUGGAAGUUUCCAGGGGUUCGGUUACAUCAAUCUUUUGUUCCAACUGAAAACUCUAUUGAGGUCAACAUCACUAGUCAAAUUAAGAGCAAUAAUUACUGUUACACUAAUGUAUUUAUUAAAUUCUCUUAGGCUUAAAUUUGACUUUUAGAUUGACAAACCAAUACUUUAGAACCUGGUAAAUGUAUUUACAUGGCAAUCUUCAAAAAGUGUGACCAUAAUAUUUGGAAUAAGGUGAGUAUGCAUUUUUAACAUCAUGUUAUAUAGUUAGAUGAUAGGCUUUUGAUAGUGGGAGACUGAAAUGAAAGAUGUUACACUCAUGUAUUUAUUAAUUGUUUUAAGGCUUAGAUUCAACUUAUAGAUUAACAAACCGAUGCUUUAGAACCUUGGUAAUGUGUUUACAUGGGCAAUCUUCAAAAAAGGUGACCAUAAUAUUUGGAAUAAGGUGAGUAUGCAUUUUUAACAUCAUGUCAUAUAUUUUGGUGGAAGGCUUUUGAUAGUGGGAGACUGAAUUGAAAGAUCUGUUAAUGGUUGUACUUUAUAUUUGAAUGAAAAGGAUGUUGGAGUAAUCCAUGCUUAGUCGCCUAGGUCCUUAGAGCCUAGGCAUAAGGCACAAGAGUAGCCUAGUCAAAGGUGCUAGGCGCUAAAAGGUAACAAGGUGUGCCAAAAUGCUCGUGGCGCUAGGCGCUCACCCGAGCGAAGCGAGGUUCUCCCAAAUAUUAAAAUAUAAAAAUAUAUCAUGAUUGAUAAACAUGAUCACUAAAAUAAAAAUGGCACAUCAAAUUGUAUUCAUUUGAAAUACCAAAUUACAUUAUCCAAUUCCAAUAAUAAAAAUGUCAAAACAAAACAAUCAUCAAUGAUCAACAAAACAAGAUUGCACUUCUAUGUAGGAUCCUUCUUUCAGUUUCUUGUUGAUGAUUAAUGCCUAUCAGUGAUUGUUGAUGGGGAGGAAGACAUUGUCAUUUGUCGAUAGGGAGGAAGACACCGAAUGUGUGCCCUUAGGUUUCCUAAGGAGACAUAGGGUUGUGCGUAUGAUGGGGGGUGGGGGUGUUUGGUGAAGCGUGUUGACCUGGUUCGAUCAAACCAAAAUCAAUGAACCCAAUUCAUUUAGGCUCGACCCAAGCACUUGGGCCAUGGACGUGUGCCUGGGCUGCCCCCAAUUGAAGGCACCCACUUGGAUCACUUACUAGGCACUUGGGCCUCGAAUCACCUUGCUUGAGUGCCUGGUGACUUCACUGUACCAAAGGUGGUGUGCAUUUCAGUGAAGCAAUGCAUACAAUAUAUUUAUUGACAGGAAACUUGUAGGUGAAAUGAAACUAAGGUUUGGCAUGACAUUCAUUAUACAUGAAUACUUAAAAUUUCACUUUGUUCAUUCAGAAGGUAGACCCAGUUAUGCUAAUUGCGAAAAGCACCUUGGUAGAAAGUGAUGAUGAGUAGGAUGCUAAGAGCAGCAGCCUUUGGGUACUUUAUCAUGAGUUUACUGGAAUUACCUACAUGUAGCAAGUACCAAAAAAGACUAUAGUGGGCUAAUCAACUGAGCUGUCAUGGUAACUCUAUAAUUCAUAAUUGUGGAAGCAAUUUAUUUGGUCUAAAGACACAAUAGUUUAGGUUUUUCUACAAGCUAUCCAGAUCAUCAAAAGUUUGCUGUAUAAAACAAAAAGAGAUGGCCUAUAUUACUCAAUUUCUUCGAUGGAGAUACUUGGUUUGAUGUAAUCACCUUAAAAAGAAGGUGGUACAUUAUAUAUUGAGCAAAGUGUAGUCAAAACCAUAGUUAUAAGAAUCGGAUCAAAUGGUCAAACUGGAAAGCUGAGAACUGGACACUUCAUUGGCCCGACUCAAUCAUAAGAUGUCUCCGUUUGUAAACCAUGAUGAACUGAUUGACGUUACUAGUUUUUGGAUGACCCACAUGAUGAACUCAAUCAUGAGAUGUGUUUAGUAGGACCUCCAUUGUUUGGAAAUUUGUUCAAGAUGAUUUAAAUGCCCUUUAUUUAUAUUUUUUUUUCUUUUUUGCUCUUGAGGAUAUUAAAGUCAAUUUUGUGAUAGGAUUGUGGGAAAAGGGGAAACACUGUGGAAAGGUUCGAUCUUCCUUCUCUCAAUGUUUGGCUCCUCCAUUAUUAAUAAUAAUAGGAUAUUCUUCAGUUGUCCCUCUCCCUUCUGCCAUCUUGUCGUAAAUUUAGCUGGUUUUGCUUGAGCAUUGCAUUAACUUUAUUGUAUCCAUCCGUUUAGUGUCCGCCUCCACGUAACCUUGUAGUCUCGUAGGGGCCUGCAAGGAAAAAAUAGAUUAGUGGAAGUGAAGCACGGGAUCACACAAGUAGAUACUAACGAAAACACUUUAUAGACAUUGUAAAAUAUAGAGAUAGACUUAGCAAAGAUUUGAACGAUUGUCCAAGGUAGUUCAUCAUACACAAAGUAGUUAUGCACAAGUGCCUAUGCGACGCCAAGACCGAGCAAUGACCCAUCCUUAGACAUAUAAUUGAAACCCCAUCCGACCCAAUGCCACCAUCUAAGGGUUCUAGGGUGAUGAGACAACAUGUUUUAUACCAAAACACUGUUAGCCAGAAUUCAAUUGUAGCAUGUGAUUUCACGUGGCUAGCUGCUCUACCUAUAAUGCUUGCAUGUUUUACAAAACAAAGAACACAUAACAAAAACACUACCAAUAGCAGAAUGAGGCUGCCAAGACUACUAAAUAGUCAUUACAAGAUGGCUGGGUGAAACACCCAAAAACACCCAAAAGUGGUAGAGAAAGUGGUCAGGGACAUAUAUCGAACAUAGUCCCUCUCCCUUUGAUCAACCUUUCCUCUAACUGUUCUUUCGUUUUCCCCUCUUGCUUUAGUCGUUCCUCUCGUCCUAUCUACUCGUUCAAUGAUCCCUCUUUUUCCCUUCACAGCUCUUCUCCCUCCCUCCAGUCAACAUAGUGCUUAAGAUUGUUCCCCUUUUUUUAUUAAUUAUAUUAAUUUUAUUGUUAAAAACAUUUUCCUAAUCUUAUGUGUAAUUCAAUCUAUUAUUAUAUUUUUAGAUAUAUUUUCUGAUUAAACAUGUGGUCCAACUAGUUGAACCAUCUAUUUGCUUGGUUUGUUUCUGAUAAAUAUGGUUUCAACCCUGCCCUUUGUUUCUUAUUUUUCUUUCAUUUCUUUAUUGCUGCUCGUAAACUUAAAUUUUGUUUCUGGUACUCAAUAUUUUUUAUUUUAGUUGACAUAAUCUGGUAUUAUUGGUAUUUCUUGAGUCCAUAUAUAGCUUGUUGUCAGCAUGAGGCCCUUAGAUUCCUUCUCAGGGAAAUGAGCUGUUUAACUUUAUUUGAAGCUAUCAGUAUCAGUGCAGAAUCUGACUUUAAUAUGCAACGAAAUUUGAUGCCAGACAAUUUUCAUGUCUAUCCAUUCUUUUUUAUUUCAUAUUUAGAUUCCUCUUGUCUUUGUCUCAUGCAUUCUGACUUCGUUGCUUUUUUUAUUUGUCAUGAUUCUUGAAUGGAAAACAUUUAUAAUGUUCCAUAAUUACAGCGAGUUUAUAAUGAUAUAAACAAUUGUAGCCAGCACAGGAUCCAAGAUUUCCUGGAAGGGGAAGGACUCUUGGUUCUACUGGAAAUCAGUCGUUAACUCCAGCUGAUUCUGACUUGAGCUUGCAUGCAAGGCUUUUAGAUAACUCCACAAAUCGUCCAUUGGAGACAACAACAUUAAGUACAGAAACAUGGUUACCAGACGCAAGGUAUGGCCAAUCUUGUUUGUAGAAUUACUUCUUUUUCUUGGAACAUAUGGUUUUUCAUGUCUUUUAUAUUUACCAAGUUUUCUAUGUGCUUUCUAUCUUCUGAUUUAACAAACUGAAAGAGUCUUCCAGCAACAUACUGAAAUAGGUCUAGUAUGUUAAUUCUUCCUAUCAAUUACGACAAGUUUUACCAGUUGAGAUAGCAACUUCAUCAGUUAUUAUCUUGGAUCCCAAGAGGAUUUCAAGUUCACAGGCAUAAGAUGUUUAGUUAUAUUUUGUUCCACACUUCCACCUUUUUUAUUAUCAUACAUCUUAUAUCUUGCUAAACUGAGACAAAGCAGAGUGCAUUAAAUUUCAGUUUGUAGAUGAUUUCCAAUAUGCCCCUGAGUUUAGGCUUUACAUGGUGACCACUGAAAUUCCUGCAUGCUUAAAUUGCAUGUUUAGUGCGUACAAUUGAAUGAUCAUCUAAGAUGUGAUGCAUGAACAUAUGAUAAAGGUGGAUCAAAUAUGUUUGGAAGCAGAAUGAACUAUAUAUAUAUAUAUAUAUAUAUAUAUAUAUAUAUAUAUGUAUAUAUAUGUAUAUGUAUAUAUAUAUACAUGUAUAUGUAUAUAUAUAUAUACAUGUAUAUAUAUAUAUACAUAUACAUGUAUAUAUAUAUACAUAUAUACACACACACACACACACACACACACAUAUAUAUAUAUAUAUAUAUAUAUAUAUCCUAACGAGGCAGGAAGAAUGUCGCUUGUGAAUAAGCUAUUCUUCCUAAUCUUGAUCACCUUGUUUUUCGAAUCUAUUACCGUUUUGGUGUUCCUAUGAUGCUCAUGUAUGCUCGUAGACUGUGAAGAAAUGGAUUAAAGGUGUUCUUGAAUCUUUAUGACAUUAAAGGUUUGUCUCAAUUGGAUUGUGCCUGAGGUCUAAACUGGGAUUUUAUUGGCAGUGGAGCAUGGUUUACUAAAACUCAAGCUAUCUAAAAUUUGAAAUUAGGGUUGCCAACAUCAAGGUUUAGAAUCUCCGUCUAAUAUUGAGAUCAGUUGGUGGUCAGACCAUGGAUGCGAGGAGGUGGUGGUGACUGAAGUUUGUGGCAGUGGGGGAGGUGGAGUCUUCGACCAAGGUGAAGGGAGGGAAAACGUGGGUGUUAGCGAUGGAACCUUUGAGGCUGACGUUGUUGGUGCAGGAUCGUCUUAAUUUAUCUUUCUUUAAAAUAAUUUUGUUAGUUAUGUUGUAUUUUGCAAAUGUCAUAAAUUGUUAUGUGAUUUCUUCUAUGAUCUUACACGAGUUAUCAAUAUUUUCCAAAGAGAAAAAAAUGGAAAACCCAAAAAAGGAGACAAUUUUGUGUUUGAUUUGACUUUCUGAGGAAUAAGGAAGGAGUCAAAUCUUGAGCUUGAUUGGAGAUUCCAUAUCUUAAUUGGAGAUUUCAUUCCAUGAUAUGGAAGUUAACAUAAAAUGAAGCCUAACAGUUAAAUAUUUUAUCAUUAAGAAAACUAUUUCCUAAAACAAAUUUGAAAAUGUAUAUAUAUAUGUAUAUGUAUAUAUACAUAUAUAUACACAAAUACAUACAUAAAUACAUAAAUAUAUAUAUAUAUAUAUACAUAUAUAUAUAUAUAUAUAUAUAUAUAUAUAUAUAUAUAUAUAUAUAUAUAUACAGAUACAUAUAUAUAUACAGAUACAUAUACAUAUAUAUACACGUAUAUAUAUACAUUUACAUUCACACACACACACACACACACACACACACACACACACACACACACACACAUAUAUAUAUAUAUAUAUAUAUAUAUAUAUAUAUAUAUAUAUAUGGUUGCGUAGUAUAUUGUUGUAUCUAGGUGUCUACAAAAGGGGGAAAGGGUUGUUACUCGGAACAUUAGAGAAUGGAUGAUGAAAGCUUUUCCCAAUAGUAUGAGUGGUGUGACAUCUCUAGAAGGUGACUCUUAGAGCCAUGCAUAUCUAAUACUUACCCAUGGUGUGGUGCAUGAGGCAUGUCUAGUGCCAGGCAAAGAUCACAUGAAAGCCAGUAAUUACUGGUUCGUAUUAUUUGCUUAUUGCAUAGGGUGAUACCUGACUGCACAAGCAUUUAUAUUUGCUAGUAAUCCUAUGGCCAAUGCCUUGACUCUUCCCACUUUUCAUCUAUUAGCCCCCUUCUGUCUUCUCUUAUUUUUCUUUAAUUGAAAACGUUGGUAAAUUAUCAAAUCAACCUCGCAUUUUAAGAUAAUAUUGCAUUAUUUACCAAAUCAAGAUUAAACUGAAGUCAAAUCUUUAUAUUAUUAUUAUUUUGAAUGGUUUGUUUCUUGCCUAAGUUUCAUUUGUUUUUGUGUAUAUGGUACUUGAAUGCUUGCUUCAAAUGCAUCCUUUCCUCGUGCAGCUGAGUUUGGUUCUACACUGAUAGGUGAAUGUUUGCAUCAGAUAUUGGCCUCAGAUUUGGUUUACAUCCCUCUGGAACUUGAUCAUAUAUCACUAUUUUUUUAAAUUUGUGUACAUAAUUUUUUUUGUUAAUGAUUUAUAGAAAAAUGACAUUAAAACAAAUGCCAAUGCGGUCCAGCAGCAUGUCCAUUAUUGGUUGUAGUAAGGUCAAAAUUGUAUUUGGCCUGAGAAAAUUUUUGGCGUGGCUAUAUGCACCAAACUUGUUAAACUCACGAUCUGGGUUGUAAGAUCACAAGAUACAACAAACCAACUCAUCAAAUAGUCAAAAGUCAGGCCGGUUUUUGAAAUAAAAAUCGAACAGGCUCAGGCCAACUUGCAAGUUGACUUGGUAAAAUUGGUUGAAUCAUUUGAGUUGACUCUAAUUUAUCGAGUGGACUCAAUGGACUCACAUAAAAAAAAACAUGAGCCUACAUGGUGCAAUGAGAAGACAUGGUGGAGCCUUAGCAAUUAGUGUCACAGCUACUGACAUCGCCAGUUGAGGCACCUCCUCUGCUGCUGCCACAGGCCACCCUCUUCUCUCUUUCAUUAUUACAGGCCAAACUGCCUUCUUUUAGCCGGUACACUUUUCUCCUCUCAUCUCUCCUGUUCUCUCAUCUCUUCUCUCUCAUUCUCUACCCUCUUCUCUCGUGGCUCCUGUUGUCUCUGCUGUCUUCUUGUGUUCUCUUUUUUCUCCUAUUUCCUCCCUCUCCAGUUCCCUCCCAUCUAUUAUCUUUUCUCCCCUAUCUUGUUCUCUCCUUUCCAAUCUCCUCCCCUUCUACAAUCACUCAAUAAAACAUGAAUUAAUUUCAGCCAUUGCCUACUGUUCAUGAUUACAAAGGAUAUGUAAUUGCUGUUAAAUUUUUGAUCCUAAGUUGAUGCCAAAAUGUUUUUUAUUUUAACUCCAUCUAAUUUUUUUUUUGGAAGAAUUGGCGACCUGACCUCUGAGGUUGAAUAUUUUAUUAUGAGACUAUAUAUCUGUGAUCUCUCUUUUCACGAGCUCAGUUUAUUCUCUUAUAAAAGCUGGAAUCAAAGGCAUAAACUUAUGACUACAACAAUGUAGCAGGGUUUUUCUUCCAUGUUUCAAUAAAAAAUCCAAUGCUGGAGUUAACAAAAUACAAGAAGUAAAAAAGAAAAGUAACGAGUACUUAAACCAUCGGUCCUUGUUUUCUUUUUCUAGAGUUCAUAAAGGCAACUUAGGUGCAUAUCAUGAUCAUAAAAAUAGCUCACUAAUUGGGCAAAUUUAAGGGACACCUGCAAGACUAACUUUUGAGACAUUGCCCAACUACCUCCUUUGAUUCAAUUGCUUGGCUUCUUUAGGCUUCUUGUGACACUCAACCCCACUCCCUCUUUUUUAUUGUCCUUACCUUCAAUGAGAUUUUGAAAUGUUACGAAGAAGGAAAGAAAAUGAAAAGAAAGAACACAUUCUUCAAUGAGACCAAAAUAUUAAGCUAAUAACUCUAAAUUUCUGCUUCAACUAUCAUUAGUAAUAUAUGAACCAAGGUUCGCCAUACAGCAAUGUAUCGUUCGGUACAGGUGAUAUGUACCUUUUCGAUAAUGGAUUGGUAUAGGCGGUACAUCGGUAUGCCUUCAUGUACCAUUUGUUGGUACACUCGGUAUGACUCGAUACAUCUCAGUACGCACCAUACCGAUAGCUGGUCUGUACAUUGAUAUGGACUAGUAAGGCGAACCAUGAUGUGAACAUAUUUGUUUAUUACAAUAGAAAUUACGUAGCUCAUAAAAUCACUCUUUUGUUAAUGAGUAUCAUUCUUAGUUUUGAUUCUUGAGUAAUGGAGAGAUCAAUCAAACCAUUGUAAACCUUAAAAAAUAUUAUUCUUUGAGAUAAGAGAUAUAAUAAUUCAAAUAUACAUUCACUUUAAUAUAAGUACAAAUAAUAACUUAAGGACAUAUAAUAGUUAAUCUUAUUAAGAGAAAUUAUUUAUAAGCAUAUGUAAUCUUAAAUUUAACUCAUAUAAAUUGUAAGAUUUUAUGAUCCAAUCCUAUGAUUUGAGUUUAUGACCUUUAUGAUCAUAGGUAGGCAAGCAAAUUUGGAAAUCUUGAUAUACAGUCUCUCAAAGAAUUCAAAUGGGAGAAAGCAAUUUGCCAGAGGGUUAGUCUUUUGAUUGGAUGAGAUGACUAAUCUGCCACUAAUUUCAUUACCUCGAAGUCCAUCCAACAGAAAAUGACUGCAGUAGAGGCUAUAUUUUGGGUGACUGAUAGAGUUCCUGUUUACUCUUAAGUGAGUGGAGUUUUGAGGAGACGUAAUAUGAGUAAUUAUUUGAGUUGUUUAUUGGUAUUUAUUGUUUAAAGCUUUGAUCAACUAUGUUGAGGAAUUCUCAUGUGAGGAUUAGAGAUACUAGUAUCAUCCGUUGAUAAACAAUUUGAUUUGUCUUCAACAAAUUAAUUAGGUAUUUCUUGUUAAGUUGAUCUUCAGAUAUAUCAUUUUUAGUUCAAAUUGACUGUCCAGUAUAUUAUUUCAGUUUCUUCUUUUGCAUUUAGGCUGCUUAGAUGAACUUGUACAUGCUUGACACCUGAGAUAUUUUAUUAAAAUAAAAAAUACAAAAUGAAAGAAAAUGGAAAAGUGAAUCUAUAAAUCAUCAUACUGUUAGUUCUCAAGAUCCUCCUUUUAGAUUCAAGACUUUUCCUCCCACUCUCAUUAGUCAUCAAUGAAUUUUUCUUUAUCUUUUAAUCUGUUUUCUUCAUUUAGACUGUAUCAUUCAUGUAUGAUUUAUGGAACUUUUUCAUCAUGAUUUAGGCAUUCUACUCUAGACACUGAAGCAGUUGCUGGAUUAGUGACAACCAAUCAGGUUGAUGUUUUCAGUUCGUUUACUGAAAUAAUUUUUUUGUUUAUUAAUAGUUUCACUUCUUUAUUAGUAGAAACCUUUAUUUAGUAAAUCUUUUACAGGGUGUAGAUAUCUUCGAAGAGGAACUCAAGAAACUUGUAGCAAUGGGUUUUGAGAAGGUAUUUUUAUUGCAUAUGGAACUCAAGAAACUUGUAGCAUUGACUAUUUCCUUCUGUAGUGGAAUCAGCCAUGGGGAUUUGCUUAUGAAAUUUUGGGUACCUUCUCUAUUGUUUGAAGCAGGCCUCGAAUUGCAUCAAACAACGUAGAACAUGGAAAUGAAUAAAUGCUAUGCAGAAUCUUCUAGUCACUGUGGUGAUGGAACUGUCAUUGUGAAAAAAAUUCUCAUAUGAUCUUCUAGUCAUUGGUCCAGGAAUAUAAAAAGUGAUUAUUUUGGAAAAGAAAGGUAGAAAUUGUUGAAUGUCAGUUUAAAAGUGCGGUGGUUGCUCACAGUUCAUCUAAGCUAAAUUGAAAAACCUGAUCAAAUUCAGUCGUGAUUAUUAAAGGUUAAAACUUUCGCUGCUAAAAUCAACUCAUGAAUUUGAAGCUUCAAUUUUAUUGCAUCUUAAUCCUACUUGCAUUUGUCCCCCAUGGGUAUCCCUUUUGUGAUUUCUGCUAAUAAGUUGUUCUCACAUCUAUGUAAUCGCUUCAUGUAAUUGAUUUGGGAUAAGAGUUUCCCGAGCAACCUAUUUAUUUUAGGCUGCCAAGUUGUGACUUUAUGCAAUCGCUUUACUGCAGACUGAAGCUGAAGUUGCCUUGGCUGCUGCCGAUGGAGAUCCUAGUGUUGCCAUUGAAAUUCUAAUGAGCCAUCAGCAGCAGGCAUGUCACAUUCCUCCCUUUUAGUUGGCUAAAAUUUCGCCUUCACCUACCUAUUAGACUCUAUUUUUCUUGACAACACAGGGAUAAGGAUCUGGGAUAUGCGCUUGGUGUGAGCAAAUUCAUGGAAGGACAUACAAAGCAGUGUCGAUCUACUACUUACUACCUCUGCACCUUUGUGCGUUUCCAGGAUUACGUCCUUGCUACGUGAGUCUUCAAUUUUCAAGUUGUGGAAUACGAUAGGUGUAACACUAACAUGGAAAUGCACAAAUUUACUCGCAAAUGAUAUGAUAUAUAAAUUGGUUGUGGCUGGAUCAGAACAUGAUGAUAGUUGGUGACUAGAAGACCCAAAUACAAUUUUUCAAAAGAGUCAGGAAGGAGAAUGCGGAAUUAAAGUUUUCACUAAAUAAAACCUUGGUAAAUCAAAACUGAAACGUAACUGUGACUUUUUUUCUUUUUCAUUUUUAAAUUCGAAAGUUGGAUUCGUACUUGCAAGUUGCACUACUAUUUUGUUCGAAAUAGGUUAUUCUAUUUAAUCACAUAUUGCCAUUGAGAAAUAGCCUAUCCUCUUGAUUUAGUGUGUGUAAAACUCAUAUAAGAUUUAUAUGUUUUGUUUUGCGUGUUAUUACGGAGUAGUUUCAUAUCAUUUGAUGUAUCCUUGUGAGAGUUUUAUGUCUGUAACAGACAGACGAAAUGGUAGGGGGUAAAAACGACUAUACAUUUGUGCACAUUUAUAUGGAGAUGCGAUGAGAGGGAAAAUGGCUUCUUUAACUUAAUUCUUGUAUAAAUUCAUCAUCUUAGUCUUCUGUAUCUGCAAACACUAGAUAAUAUGUUGUACAUGCAUUGUUAAGAUCCAUUUGUCAUUGCAUCUAUUUUGGAAAUAGAAAUUAAAGAUUUUAUUUUGAUAAUUCUUACUGGGAAAUUUAUGCAUGAGAAAUUAUCAUGAGCUGUCUUUUUUUUGUUGUUGUUGUUUUUUUGUUUGAAUGGACAUGUUUUUUUUAAUUCUUCUUCUCUUUUUUUUUUAUUUUAUUGAGUAGACAAAAGUAUGCCUGUGUCUUUUUUGCUUUAUUUAUUAUAUGGUAAUGAAUCUAUCAAACCUAAAGGAGUAUAAACCAAAUCAAAUGGGACCAGUUUGAUCCGAUUGUGGUGUCUUCUCCCUCCUACAAAUGUUUCUUCUUCCCAUCCAUUCUCUCUUAUUUCUUGGUGUACCCAAAUGGAUUUUCUAUGUUGAGGCUUGCAGAUUCUGUUUUGGCAAUCAAACUUAUCACCUUUUCUACCUUCCAAUCUCCAUCUCCUCCCUUCUCCUCUGCUAGGCCACCAAGUUGGAUCGCAUGAACUAUUAUUUCAUGUGCCACUGCUUUAAAGAGGCUUGAAGCAU